Molecule: small nucleolar RNA, 122 nt
Filed under: Dasypus novemcinctus (nine-banded armadillo)
Lineage: Eukaryota; Metazoa; Chordata; Mammalia; Cingulata; Dasypodidae
Description: Small nucleolar RNA SNORA32 (ENSDNOG00000032319.1)
Rfam family: Small nucleolar RNA SNORA32
About the family: ACA32 is a member of the H/ACA class of snoRNA that guide the sites of modification of uridines to pseudouridines.
Source: RNAcentral
UGCAGUACCCCUCAUUUAAAAAAUUAAGCAGUUUCUGAUUUGCUGUGGAGUUGACCAUAGAAAGAACUCCACUGGGCUUGCUUUUUGCUCCCUUGCUAGCAUUCAGCCUAUUGGGAACAUUC